UGGGGAAUUUUGGACAAUGGGCGAAAGCCUGAUCCAGCAAUGCCGCGUGUGUGAAGAAGGCCUUCGGGUUGUAAAGCACUUUUGUCCGGAAAGAAAUCCUUGGCUCUAAUACAGUCGGGGGGAUGACGGUACCGGAAGAAUAAGCACCGGCUAACUACGUGCCAGCAGCCGCGGUAAUACGUAGGGUGCAAGCGUUAAUCGGAAUUACUGGGCGUAAAGCGUGCGCAGGCGGUUUGCUAAGACCGAUGUGAAAUCCCCGGGCUCAACCUGGGAACUGCAUUGGUGACUGGCAGGCUAGAGUAUGGCAGAGGGGGGUAGAAUUCCACGUGUAGCAGUGAAAUGCGUAGAGAUGUGGAGGAAUACCGAUGGCGAAGGCAGCCCCCUGGGGCCAAUACUGACGCUCAUGCACGAAAGCGUGGGGAGCAAACAGGAUUAGAUACCCUGGUAGUCCACGCCCUAAACGAUGUCAACUAGUUGUUGGGGAUUCAUUUCCUUAGUAACGUAGCUAACGCGUGAAGUUGACCGCCUGGGGAGUACGGUCGCAAGAUUAAAACUCAAAUGAAUUGACGGGGUCAUAGCUGUUUCCU
This 587-nucleotide ribosomal RNA is filed under the name uncultured bacterium. Its description in RNAcentral is "partial 16S ribosomal RNA". It matches the Rfam family "Bacterial small subunit ribosomal RNA", at positions 355 to 1375 of the family's 1533-position model. The record is from RNAcentral.